GCACCUAUAGCUCAGUUGGAUAGAGUAGCACACUCCGAAUGUGAAGGUCAGGAGUUCAAGUCUCCUUAGGUGCA
This 74-nucleotide transfer RNA is filed under the name Eubacterium nodatum ATCC 33099. It matches the Rfam family "tRNA". From Rfam's summary of the family: Transfer RNA (tRNA) molecules are approximately 80 nucleotides in length. The record is from Rfam by way of RNAcentral. Lineage: Bacteria; Bacillati; Bacillota; Clostridia; Peptostreptococcales; Anaerovoracaceae.